Molecule: ribosomal RNA, 427 nt
Filed under: uncultured bacterium
Lineage: Bacteria
Description: bacterial SSU rRNA
Rfam family: Bacterial small subunit ribosomal RNA
Source: RNAcentral
UGGGGAAUUUUGGACAAUGGGCGCAAGCCUGAUCCAGCAAUGCCGCGUGCAGGAUGAAGGCCUUCGGGUUGUAAACUGCUUUUGUACGGAACGAAAAAGCUCUCUCUAAUACAGGGGGUGAAUGACGGUACCGUAAGAAUAAGCACCGGCUAACUACGUGCCAGCAGCCGCGGUAAUACGUAGGGUGCAAGCGUUAAUCGGAAUUACUGGGCGUAAAGCGUGCGCAGGCGGUUUUGUAAGACAGAGGUGAAAUCCCCGGGCUCAACCUGGGAACUGCCUCGGUGACUGAAGAGCUGGAGUGCGGCAGAGGGGGAUGGAAUUCCGCGUGUAGCAGUGAAAUGCGUAGAUAUGCGGAGGAACACCGAUGGCGAAGGCAAUCCCCUGGGCCUGCACUGACGCUCAUGCACGAAAGCGUGGGGAGCAAACA